This 114-nucleotide ribosomal RNA is filed under the name Acanthosepion pharaonis. Lineage: Eukaryota; Metazoa; Mollusca; Cephalopoda; Sepiida; Sepiidae. The record is from RNAcentral.
UAUGGCCAUAUCAUGUUGAAAACACUGAUUCAUGUAUGAUCAAUGAAGUUGAGCAAUGCCGAGCCUGGUCAGUACCUAGAUGCAUGACCACUUGAGAAUACCAGGUGCUGUAAG